This 869-nucleotide ribosomal RNA is filed under the name uncultured bacterium. RNAcentral describes it as "bacterial SSU rRNA". It matches the Rfam family "Bacterial small subunit ribosomal RNA", at positions 9 to 873 of the family's 1533-position model. The record is from RNAcentral.
AGAGUUUGAUCCUGGCUCAGAACGAACGCUGGCGGCGCGCCUAAUACAUGCAAGUCGAGCGAGAAGACGUAGCGAUACGUUUGUAAAGCGGCGAACGGGUGAGGAAUACAUGGGUAACCUACCCUCGAGUGGGGAAUAACUAGCCGAAAGGUUAGCUAAUACCGCAUACGACUCUUGGUCUGCGGAUUGGGAGAGAAAGCGAUACCGUGGGUAUCGCGCUCUUGGAUGGGCUCAUGUCCUAUCAGCUUGUUGGUGAGGUAACGGCUCACCAAGGCUUCGACGGGUAGCUGGUCUGAGAGGACGAUCAGCCACACUGGCACUGCGACACGGGCCAGACUCCUACGGGAGGCAGCAGUAAGGAAUAUUGCGCAAUGGGCGACAGCCUGACGCAGCGACGCCGCGUGGGGGAUGAAGGUCUUCGGAUUGUAAACCCCUUUCGGCAGGGAAGAUGGAACGGGUAACCGUUCGGACGGUACCUGCAGAAGCAGCCACGGCUAACUUCGUGCCAGCAGCCGCGGUAAUACGAAGGUGGCAAGCGUUGUUCGGAUUUACUGGGCGUACAGGGAGCGUAGGCGGUUGGGUAAGCCCUUCGUGAAAUCUCCGGGCCUAACCCGGAAAGUGCGGAGGGGACUGCUCGGCUAGAGGAUGGGAGAGGAGCGCGGAAUUCCCGGUGUAGCGGUGAAAUGCGUAGAGAUCGGGAGGAAGGCCGGUGGCGAAGGCGGCGCUCUGGAACAUUUCUGACGCUGAGGCUCGAAAGCGUGGGGAGCAAACAGGAUUAGAUACCCUGGUAGUCCACGCCUUAAACGAUGGAUACUAAGUGUCGGCAGGUUACCGCCGGUGCCGCAGCUAACGCAGUAAGUAUCCCGCCC